ACUUUUGGCAAGUAGUUUGGCAGUAAAUUGUGCAUUACUUUGUUGAAGUUUUAAUUCAAAGUUUAAUAACUUGGGUUUUCCUUUUUGAAGGAUCUUCUUUGUCAUCAUAUUCCUGAUGAUAACCAAUUGAUUUUCUUAAUGUGAAAAUUGAUUUGUUAAUAUGUUCCUUGGUUUUUUCAAUAAUGAAAUUGUUAUAUUUACAAACAUGAUUUAUUUUUCUGCAAGCGUUUGCAACCAUGCCUUCCAGUUCCACUACAUCAGUCGAGGAUUGAAAACUCUCCAAGUUUGCCCAUUGGUGAUGUACUAUGUUUUAUGGAUCUGUUCCUUGAGUUAUUUGGAUGUGAAAACGUGCAUGGUUGGAAGUCACCAACUACAAAAUGUGGCAAAUGCCCAUUCAUGCAACAUUUUGCCUUCGUAAUCGAGGUUUCUUUGAUUGUGUUCUCCACCAAAGGGAAGCUUUUUUUAGUAUUCUAUCGAUUUCAGUCUUGAAGGUGAUUCGUCAGAUUGAGAAAUGCACCAGAUUGCAGGAGCUCUCUCAAGUUUACUAUGCUCCUAUUGGACCCUUGGAAUGAUAAGUCAGGGAGCUCUUGGAUUGUGCCCUGCCGAAACCUCCUGCACCAUGUCUAAGUAAUAACUCUUUUUUUAUUCCAACCGGUCAAUUGCAGUUUUGGCCUUAGGGAAUGCAAGAAUUAGGUUUGGCCCUUGGAAAAAAAAUGUUGAAGUAUGAACUAUGAAAUAGACUUGUCAUGAGUCAUGACUAUGACAUUAUUUUUGCAUUUUAUUGUUGCUAUUGUAUAAUCAAAUCACUGAGCAAGAUGUUGCAUCUUUAUGUCGUAGUUAUCUUGUCUUGAUGAAUAUAUAAAAUUUAUAAUUUAAAAUUUAUUUA
Molecule: long non-coding RNA, 886 nt
Organism: Quercus robur (English oak)
Lineage: Eukaryota; Viridiplantae; Streptophyta; Magnoliopsida; Fagales; Fagaceae
Exons: 3
Source: RefSeq, a predicted model, not a curated record